AACCUCCGCAAUGUGAGAAAUCGCGACGGGGGGAUCCCAAGUGCCAUUCUUAACGGGAUGGCUUUUCUUAAGUGUAAAAAGCUUUUGGAAUAAGAGCUGGGCAAGACCGGUGCCAGCCGCCGCGGUAACACCGGCAGCUCUAGUGGUAGCUGUUUUUAUUGGGCCUAAAGCGUUCGUAGCCGGUUUGAUAAGUCACUGGUGAAAUCCUGUAGCUUAACUGUGGGAAUUGCUGGAGAUACUGUUGAACUUGAGGUCGGGAGAGGUUAGCGGUACUCCCAGGGUAGAGGUGAAAUUCUGUAAUCCUGGGAGGACCGCCUGUUGCGAAGGCGUCUAACUGGAACGGUUCUGACGGUGAGGGACGAAAGUUAGGGGCGCGAACCGGAUUAGAUACCCGGGUAGUCCUAACCGUAAACGAUGCGGACUUGGUGUUGGGGUGGCUUUGAGCUGCUCCAGUGCCGAAGGGAAGCUGUAAGUCCGCCGCCUGGGAAGUACGGUCGCAAGACUGAAACUUAAAGGAAUU
This 520-nucleotide ribosomal RNA is filed under the name uncultured bacterium. Its description in RNAcentral is "bacterial SSU rRNA". It matches the Rfam family "Archaeal small subunit ribosomal RNA", at positions 345 to 866 of the family's 1478-position model. The record is from RNAcentral.